AUGGAAAAAAGGCACACUUAUCUAAAGAUAAGGCCGCAAAGCUAUGGGUCUAAGGGAUUAUUCCUAUGAUCGCCAAGUUACCAAA
This 85-nucleotide non-coding RNA is filed under the name Geosporobacter ferrireducens. RNAcentral describes it as "c-di-GMP sequence". It matches the Rfam family "c-di-GMP-I riboswitch aptamer". Rfam says of the family: GEMM was predicted in a large-scale screen for bacterial structured RNA regulatory elements. Genes associated with GEMM are involved in a diverse array of functions, including chemotaxis regulation, signal transduction, secretion and chitin. Lineage: Bacteria; Bacillati; Bacillota; Clostridia; Peptostreptococcales; Thermotaleaceae. The record is from Rfam by way of RNAcentral.